GUUGUUUAUAGUUCACUUACAGGUUUGACAUCUGUGCCUAAGGGGUACCACCCGUGGGCGUCCCUGGUGGCUCAGUGGUAAAGAAUCUACCUGCCAGUGCAAGAGACCCGGAUUUGAUCUCUGGGUUGCAAAGACCCCCUGAAGAAGGAAAUGGCAACCCACCCCAGUAUUCCUGCCUGGGCAGUCCCAUGAACAGCGGAGCCUGGUGGGCUACAGUCCAUGGGGUCCGCAGAGAGUUGGACCCUACUUAGCAACUAAAACAUCAGCAAGUAUCACCUGUACCUCUCAGGGAGAAGAACACUGAAAUCCAUAAGGACCAGAUUAGCUUUAUCUAAUAUUUUUGUUCAGGGGCUUUUGAUUCUGAAUUUAUGUCACCCAUGGGCAUCUUUAUUUUCUGGUAGGAAGUGGGCCUCUCUUUACUCCUGUCUCGGGGAAAGAACCUUGUGAGGCAGAUGAUAAACCCUAGAAAGGUACAGUUAACA
Molecule: long non-coding RNA, 482 nt
Filed under: Capra hircus (goat)
Lineage: Eukaryota; Metazoa; Chordata; Mammalia; Artiodactyla; Bovidae
Description: lncRNA (ENSCHIG00010028835.1)
Source: RNAcentral